AUACCUACCUGGUAGGGGAGAUACCAUGAUCAUGAAGGUGGUGUUCCGAGGGCGAGGCUUAUCCAUUGCACUAUGGAUGUGCUGACCCCUGUGAUUUCCCCAAAUAUAAGAAAUGGGACUACAUAAUUUGUGGUAGUGGGGACUGUGUUUAUGAUUUCCCCUA
Non-coding RNA from Ailuropoda melanoleuca (giant panda), 163 nucleotides. Lineage: Eukaryota; Metazoa; Chordata; Mammalia; Carnivora; Ursidae. The record is from Rfam.